Molecule: ribosomal RNA, 1235 nt
Filed under: metagenome
Description: bacterial LSU rRNA
Rfam family: Bacterial large subunit ribosomal RNA
Source: RNAcentral
UGAAUACGAGAUGCUACGGCGUCGAAGCAGUCUAUGUCAUACUUCCAAGAAAAGCUCGCACUGUCAUAAACAAAUAAUGCCUGUACCAUAACCGACACAGGUGGGUAGGUAGAGUAUACUAAGGGGCGCGAGAUAACUCUCUCUAAGGAACUCGGCAAAAUGACUCCGUAACUUCGGGAGAAGGAGUGCCUUAUUUAUAAGGUUGCAAUAACAAGAUCCAAGCAACUGUUUAUCAAAAACACAGGUCUCCGCUAAGUCGUAAGACGAUGUAUGGGGGCUGACGCCUGCCCAGUGCCAGAAGGUUAAAGAAGUUGGUUAGCAUUCGCGAAGCUGAUAACUGAAGCCCUGGUGAACGGCGGCCGUAACAAUAACGGUCCUAAGGUAGCGAAAUUCCUUGUCGGGUAAGUUCCGACCCGCACGAAAGGCGUAAUGAUUUGGAUACUGUCUCGGAGAGGGGCUCGGUGAAAUAGACUUGUCUGUGAAGAUGCGGACUACCUGCACCAUGACAGAAAGACCCUAUGAAGCUUUACUGUAACUUGAGAUUGAAAUUGGACUUUACUUGCGCAGUAUAGGUGGGAGGCGUUGAUAAUAUUCUUGCGGGAUUAUUUGAGCCAUCAGUGAGAUACCACUCUUGUAAUGUUAGAUUUCUAACUUUGUAUCAUUAUCUGGUCAAAGGACAGUUUCAGGCGGGCAGUUUGACUGGGGCGGUCGCCUCCUAAACGGUAACGGAGGCGCACAAAGGUUUCCUCUGAACGGGUAGAAAUCGUAUCUAGAGUGUAAAGGCAUAAGGAAGCUUGACUGUGAGACCUACAAGUCGAGCAGGGACGAAAGUCGGUCUUAGUGAUCUGACGGUGCUGAGUGGAAAGGCCGUCACUCAACGGAUAAAAGUUACUCUAAGGAUAACAGGCUGAUCUUCCCCAAGAGUUCACAUCGACGGGGAGGUUUGGCACCUCGAUGUCGGCUCAUCGCAUCCUGGGGCGGUAGUACGUCCCAAGGGUUGGGCUGUUCGCCCAUGAAAGCGGUACGCGAGCUGGGUUCAGAACGUCGUGAGACAGUUCGGUCCAUAUCCGGUGUAGGCGUUAGAAUAUUGAGAGGAGCCUUCUUUAGUACGAGAGGACCGAGAAGGACAUACCUCUGGUGUACCAGUUAUCGUGCCAACGGUAAACGCUGGGUAGCUAUGUAUGGAGUGGAUAACCGCUGAAAGCAUCUAAGUGGGAAGCCCACCUCAAGAUAAG